CGUGCACGCACACACACACACACUCGGCGCCGUGAUUCGGCCACAGCAGCACUGUGUACUCCACAGCCACGGGCGCGCGCCUACGUAGCAUAAGCGGGGCGGGCUGACGGUGGAAUGUCGGGAACGCGCAUUAUUUUCCUCGAGAGGUUUAUACAUAUAGCAUACAUGGCAAGUACCAACCAGUGAGGGUGAAAACUAUCACAUGCUUCCUCUGAGACACGGAAGACAGCCUAAUGCCCCAUAUGCAACGUUUAAAAGCAGCAUAACACACUUGGAGGAAAGUGCUAACUGCCCCUUCUGCUUCCAUGAGCUCACAGAUGCUAUUGCCGAGGCUAGUGCCACUGUGAUUGAUAUGAGAGUGUGGGAAUGCUAUUUUAAGUCUAAUUUAAAAGUAGGACACAAUUGUACAAACAUCAAGUACCGACUGCCGAAAUAUCAACUGCAGAUUAUGUGUGAUAGCCAUGUAAUUGUAAUUAUAUUUCUUGAAAUUAGUUCUAUGCUUUAUUGUUUGGUUAAGACUUUGCUGGUUUAUCUGUUUAAUAUCUGCUUUAAACUGCUGGUAUUUUAGCAUCCCUGUAUCCUACAUCUAAUAAUGCCGUAAACUGUUCUGUUUCUUCUUA
Molecule: long non-coding RNA, 620 nt
Organism: Clarias gariepinus (North African catfish)
Lineage: Eukaryota; Metazoa; Chordata; Actinopteri; Siluriformes; Clariidae
Exons: 2
Source: RefSeq, a predicted model, not a curated record